This 411-nucleotide small RNA is filed under the name Physconia muscigena. Its description in RNAcentral is "eukaryotic LSU rRNA". The stretch from base 88 to 241 matches the Rfam family "5.8S ribosomal RNA". The record is from RNAcentral. Lineage: Eukaryota; Fungi; Ascomycota; Lecanoromycetes; Caliciales; Physciaceae.
CCCGGGGAAGGCUGACCCCUUCUCGUGCCCGCCAAAGGCCUCAAUAAACCCUGUGAUCAGUGUCGUCCGAGUAAAAACAAUCGUUAAAACUUUCAACAACGGAUCUCUUGGUUCCGGCGUCGAUGAAGAACGCAGCGAAAUGCGAAAAGUAAUGUGAAUUGCAGAAUUCCGCGAAUCAUCGAAUCUUUGAACGCACAUUGCGCCCUUUGGUAUUCCGAAGGGCAUGCCUGUUCGAGCGUCAUUGCACCCCUCAAGCACUGCUUGGUAUUGGGCCUCGCCCCCGCGGCGGGCCCGGAUUCCAGUGGCGGUCCAGCGAGACUUCAAGCGUAGCAAGAUUAUCACAUCCCGCUUAGCAAGCCUUCCCGCUGCGUGCCGGCCAGACAACCCUAUACAAUCUCAAUGAUUGACCUC